CGCUGGCGGCAUGCCUUACACAUGCAAGUCGAACGGCAGCACGGAGCUUGCUCUGGUGGCGAGUGGCGAACGGGUGAGUAAUAUAUCGGAACGUACCCAGGAGUGGGGGAUAACGUAGCGAAAGUUACGCUAAUACCGCAUACGACCUAAGGGUGAAAGUGGGGGAUCGCAAGACCUCAUGCUCAUGGAGCGGCCGAUAUCUGAUUAGCUAGUUGGUGGGGUAAAGGCCUACCAAGGCAACGAUCAGUAGCUGGUCUGAGAGGACGACCAGCCACACUGGAACUGAGACACGGUCCAGACUCCUACGGGAGGCAGCAGUGGGGAAUUUUGGACAAUGGGGGCAACCCUGAUCCAGCAAUGCCGCGUGAGUGAAGAAGGCCUUCGGGUUGUAAAGCUCUUUUGUCAGGGAAGAAAAGGUCGCAGCUAAUAUCUGUGGCUCAUGACGGUACCUGAAGAAUAAGCACCGGCU
This 469-nucleotide ribosomal RNA is filed under the name uncultured bacterium. Its description in RNAcentral is "bacterial SSU rRNA". It matches the Rfam family "Bacterial small subunit ribosomal RNA", at positions 34 to 498 of the family's 1533-position model. The record is from RNAcentral.